This 497-nucleotide ribosomal RNA is filed under the name uncultured bacterium. RNAcentral's name for it is "partial 16S ribosomal RNA". It matches the Rfam family "Bacterial small subunit ribosomal RNA", at positions 28 to 507 of the family's 1533-position model. The record is from RNAcentral.
GAUGAACGCUGGCGGCGUGCCUAAUACAUGCAAGUCGAGCGAACAGAUAAGGAGCUUGCUCCUUUGACGUUAGCGGCGGACGGGUGAGUAACACGUGGGUAACCUACCUAUAAGACUGGGAUAACUUCGGGAAACCGGAGCUAAUACCGGAUAACAUUUGGAACCGCAUGGUUCUAAAGUGAAAGAUGGUUUUGCUAUCACUUAUAGAUGGACCCGCGCCGUAUUAGCUAGUUGGUAAGGUAACGGCUUACCAAGGCGACGAUACGUAGCCGACCUGAGAGGGUGAUCGGCCACACUGGAACUGAGACACGGUCCAGACUCCUACGGGAGGCAGCAGUAGGGAAUCUUCCGCAAAGGGCGAAAGCCUGACGGAGCAACGCCGCGUGAGUGAUGAAGGGUUUCGGCUCGUAAAACUCUGUUAUUAGGGAAGAACAAAUGUGUAAGUAACUGUGCACGUCUUGACGGUACCUAAUCAGAAAGCCACGGCUAACUACGUG